Small nuclear RNA from Ornithorhynchus anatinus (platypus), 104 nucleotides. The record is from RefSeq and is a predicted model, not a curated record. NCBI's taxonomy places the organism in Eukaryota, Metazoa, Chordata, Mammalia, Monotremata, Ornithorhynchidae.
UUACCACAGCAGCACUUACACUAAAAUUGGAACAAUAAUGGAAAAAUUUAGCAUGGCACUUGCACAAGGAUGACAUGGAAAUUUGUACAGUGUUCUCAACUUUU